RNAcentral lists this ribosomal RNA (292 nucleotides) under uncultured bacterium. Its description in RNAcentral is "partial 16S ribosomal RNA". The record is from RNAcentral.
GGACUACUAGGGUUUCUAAUCCUGUUCGCUCCCCACGCUUUCGCGCCUCAGCGUCAGUAUUAUGCCAGGUGGCUGCCUUCGCCAUCGACGUUCCUUCCGAUCUCUACGCAUUUCACCGCUACACCGGAAAUUCCGCCACCCUCUCAUAUACUCCAGCAAGACAGUUUGCGAUGCACUUCCUAGGUUAAGCCCAGGGCUUUCACAUCACACAUAUCUCACCGCCUACGCGCCCUUUACGCCCAGUAAUUCCGAUUAACGCUCGCACCCUCUGUAUUACCGCGGCUGCUGGCAC